Xenopus laevis (African clawed frog) is the source of this 406-nucleotide long non-coding RNA. RefSeq lists it as uncharacterized. NCBI's taxonomy places the organism in Eukaryota, Metazoa, Chordata, Amphibia, Anura, Pipidae. The transcript has 2 exons. The record is from RefSeq and is a predicted model, not a curated record.
CCGGAACACCCCAAGUCACUAGCAUUCUGGAUAAAAGGUCUCAUACCUGUACACAAAUUUCAGUAAGUCACAUGACACAAAUUUUAUCACUAAGACUAGAUUAUAUCUGAUGCUAUAACUCGGCACCAUGUAUGAGUAUAUAAUUUACAACAUAUUCGUGCCUCUUCUGAAUUAAAUGAAAAUAAAUCUCCUAGCUCUAGUUAUUAGAAUGUGUAUUAUGCCCUAACUGUUAUUUUUUAUUUCAGGAUUCUUUACUUGGAACAAGCCAACGGUUCAAGUAACAAUUGAAAUGAGGCCUGAAAGAUCUUUCCAGCAAAAAUGGAGCUGGCCUAAGAGCAGAAGCCGAUUUCGUCCAUAUUAAGAAUUAAUAUUAAGAAUUCAUUAAUAAAAUGUUGCAGGGCCUGAA